CCGGAGUUGUCCCUGUCAUAAGUUCAGUUUGCCAGAACGGAGAGAGCGGGCGGACUCAGGAUGCCGACAUCAGCCAGAGAAUUUGUAGAGCUGCAGCAAAUUGCCUGGGAAACAAGGAAUUUGUGUGAGGCUUUGUGUUGAGAGGAGGCAGGGCCCAGCGGCUCCAGCAACCACUGAACAAGAGACAGAUUAGCUCGCUCUCUUUGGAACAAAACAAGCUUUUUUUUUUUGGACCUGGACAGCGAGGAAUGGCUCUCCCAAAGGACAUUUUGUCUUUCCUUUUCCUUUUUAAAGUUCUCCUAGGUAGCCUUCCUGAGAAAUAUCAAAUAGAAAGUGGAGAUGGGGUCAAAGGGCUCCUUCUGCCCCUCCCAGGGCCUUCGUCCUGAACCUUGGUUUUGCUGCCUGCAGAUUUCUGUAAAUGUGAGGAGUCACUCAGAGGAAAAGCCUUCUGCAAACAGAUGAUCCUCAAAUGGUGUCCUCCCACCCACCAUGUCCUGCAGAAGGAUUUGCUGCCACACUCCCUCUGCCUUCCUCUCCCUCUCCCCCUCCUCCCAGGGAGGGAGGCACGGAAAUGGAAAUCAGCUAGCUAGCAUCUAAUGAUUCCCUACUGUGUGAAGAGCAUUCCAUGUUCUAGAGGUGUCUUUGAUGGAAAGGAAGAGAAUAAUGAUCUGGGAAGUGCAUCUCUAUGUCCCUCCUGGAAGAGUAUUUCGGAAUGUGGAGAGACGCUGAGCCUCAUAUGCUGAUUUUAUUUUAAUCAUUCACCCAGAGAAAGGAGAAAGACUUCUGCAUUCUCUAAUCCAAAAUUAAAGAGUCUUUUGCAAAGAUCAGGAUAGCAGAUGUUAUUGAGA
Molecule: long non-coding RNA, 848 nt
Filed under: Ursus maritimus (polar bear)
Lineage: Eukaryota; Metazoa; Chordata; Mammalia; Carnivora; Ursidae
Description: lncRNA (ENSUMAG00000001568.1)
Source: RNAcentral